AAUUAAAGCUUCUAACUUUAAAAAGAGCAAGAGUUCAUAUUUCUUAAAA
This 49-nucleotide transfer RNA is filed under the name Platerodrilus maninjauensis. RNAcentral describes it as "partial tRNA-Ser". The record is from RNAcentral. Lineage: Eukaryota; Metazoa; Arthropoda; Insecta; Coleoptera; Lycidae.